This 516-nucleotide ribosomal RNA is filed under the name uncultured bacterium. RNAcentral's name for it is "partial 16S ribosomal RNA". It matches the Rfam family "Bacterial small subunit ribosomal RNA", at positions 29 to 523 of the family's 1533-position model. The record is from RNAcentral.
AGCGAACGCUGGCGGCGUGCUUAACACAUGCAAGUCGAACGUGAAAGGGAGCAAUCCCAAGUAAAGUGGCGUACGGGUGAAUAACGCGUAGGUAAUCUACCCCAAAAUCUGGAAUAACUUGCCGAAAGGCGGGCUAAUACUGGAUAGAGCGAUGGAAUCCGUAAUUGGGGUUUUCGGGAAAGGGAGGCAGCAAUGCCCCUCGUCUUGGGGUGAGCCUGCGUCUCAUUAGCUAGUUGGCGAGGUAAUAGCUCACCAAGGCUUUGAUGGGUAGCUGGUCUGAGAGGAUGAUCAGCCAAACUGGAACUGAAACACGGUCCAGACUCCUACGGGAGGCAGCAGUGGGGAAUCUUGCGCAAUGGACGAAAGUCUGACGCAGCCACGCCGCGUGAGUGAGGAAGGCCUUCGGGUUGUAAAGCUCUGUCGGGCGGGACGAAAAUGCAUUAAGUGAAUAGCUUAGUGUACUGACGGUACCGCCAAAGGAAGCACCGGCUAACUCCGUGCCAGCCGCCGCGGUAA